This 842-nucleotide unclassified non-coding RNA is filed under the name Hevea brasiliensis (rubber tree). Lineage: Eukaryota; Viridiplantae; Streptophyta; Magnoliopsida; Malpighiales; Euphorbiaceae. The record is from RNAcentral.
GAACUUGAGUCGAAUGGGUCCAUAGGUUGGAAAAGCUCAAUUAGCGCAAAUCGGAAAAUAUUGAUGCAUAAGAUUGGUCUUCAAUCAAAGCAGGAUGAAGCCUUUUGAGCCAUCGGCAAAUGUGGCCACACUGCAAGAAAGCUUCCAUUAGCAACCAAUCAGACUACAAGCCCCACCAGUCUGCUCCCUUCUUCCAUCCUUUCUUUUCUAUUCUUUUUAAUCAAGUCCCAAACCCCAAGGUUACAAACUUCCAAUUGAAACCCUUGCAACAUGCCAAAACCAAUUUGAAAUGACUAAUCACAGAGAAGUGCCUCCGAACAAGAUACACACCAGCCACGCAAAGGUAUUAUCGUUGCAAUGACUUUUAAAAAAUUAGCAUAAUUUUAUAAGAACACGAAUUCAUCAUUAUUUACAUCUGUGAAAGUAUUAUCAUUGCAAUUAUUUUUAAGAUACAGUCGUAAUUGAAAUUUUAGCGAUUAACAUUAUGUAUUGCUCCUAAAACUCAAUUGGGAUUGGUCAUUUUUCCCAUCCCAUAAAACUUUUAUCGGUGAAGCUUAUUGCGAUAGUGUGCAAGAGGACUCAGGAAGCUCCAUUUUCCCUUCAGUCUCUGAAGACUCAGGAAGCAAUUGAAUGACUGCAAAAUUUUCCAAAAGCACAAGGGUACUGUGGGAGAUGUAUGUAGGGCAAUAUUUAGAUUUUUCACUGGUGGAUGCAUGCUAUGCCACCGAAAUCAUGUUGUAAUUUCUUUAAUCCCCAGAGUUAAAUGGACAAAAUUUACAAAUAGUUUGAGAUGAAUUUUAAUUGGGUUUAAGAUGACGGAUUUGAGUAUUAGAGUUAUUAAU